GAUAAACGCUGGCGGCGUGCCUAACACAUGCAAGUCGAACGCUCUCGCAAGAGAGAGUGGCGGACGGGUGAGGAACACGUGGGUACCUACCUUGAGGUGAGGAAUACCGGCGAGAAAUCGCCGACAAUACCGCAUACCCUUUGAAAGAAGGAAAGUCUCGCAAGAGACGCCACAAGAUGGGCCUGCGCCCGAUUAGCUGGUUGGUGGGGUAAUGGCCUACCAAGGCUGCGAUCGGUAGCUGGUCUGAGAGGACGAUCAGCCACACUGGGAUUGAGAA
RNAcentral lists this ribosomal RNA (277 nucleotides) under uncultured bacterium. RNAcentral describes it as "partial 16S ribosomal RNA". It matches the Rfam family "Bacterial small subunit ribosomal RNA", at positions 28 to 325 of the family's 1533-position model. The record is from RNAcentral.